Molecule: transfer RNA, 65 nt
Filed under: Rattus norvegicus (Norway rat)
Lineage: Eukaryota; Metazoa; Chordata; Mammalia; Rodentia; Muridae
Rfam family: tRNA
About the family: Transfer RNA (tRNA) molecules are approximately 80 nucleotides in length. Their secondary structure includes four short double-helical elements and three loops (D, anti-codon, and T loops).
Source: Rfam by way of RNAcentral
UAGCUCAGUGGGUAGAGCGCUUGCCUAGCAUGCAUGAAGUUGUGGGUUCGAUCCCAGAACCCCAU